GACGAACGCUGGCGGCGUGCUUAACACAUGCAAGUCGAACGGAAAGGCCCUGCUUUUGUGGGGUGCUCGAGUGGCGAACGGGUGAGUAACACGUGAGUAACCUGCCCUUGACUUUGGGAUAACUUCAGGAAACUGGGGCUAAUACCGGAUAGGAGCUCCUGCUGCAUGGUGGGGGUUGGAAAGUUUCGGCGGUUGGGGAUGGACUCGCGGCUUAUCAGCUUGUUGGUGGGGUAGUGGCUUACCAAGGCUUUGACGGGUAGCCGGCCUGAGAGGGUGACCGGCCACAUUGGGACUGAGAUACGGCCCAGACUCCUGCGGGAGGCAGCAGUGGGGAAUAUUGCACAAUGGGCGCAAGCCUGAUGCAGCGACGCCGCGUGAGGGAUGACGGCCUUCGGGUUGUAAACCUCUUUCAGUAGGGAAGAAGCGAAAGUGACGGUACCUGCAGAAGAAGCACCGGCUAACUACGUG
Molecule: ribosomal RNA, 468 nt
Filed under: uncultured bacterium
Lineage: Bacteria
Description: partial 16S ribosomal RNA
Rfam family: Bacterial small subunit ribosomal RNA
Source: RNAcentral